GUAAGGAAUAUUGGACAAUGGGGGCAACCCUGAUCCAGCCAUGCCGCGUGAAGGAUGACGGCCCUCUGGGUUGUAAACUUCUUUUGUACGGGAAUAAACCCCUCUACGUGUAGAGGGUUGAAUGUACCGUAAGAAUAAGGAUCGGCUAACUUCGUGCCAGCAGCCGCGGUAAUACGAAGGAUCCAAGCGUUAUCCGGAUUUAUUGGGUUUAAAGGGUGCGUAGGCGGGCUAUUAAGUCAGUGGUGAAAGCCUGCAGCUUAACUGCAGAAUUGCCAUUGAUACUGAUGGUCUUGAGUACACUUGAGGUGGGCGGAAUGUGUCAUGUAGCGGUGAAAUGCUUAGAUAUGACACAGAACACCGAUUGCGAAGGCAGCUCACUAAAUUGUAACUGACGCUGAGGCACGAAAGCGUGGGGAUCAAACAGGAUUAGAAACCCUGGUAGUCC
RNAcentral lists this ribosomal RNA (445 nucleotides) under uncultured bacterium. RNAcentral's name for it is "bacterial SSU rRNA". It matches the Rfam family "Bacterial small subunit ribosomal RNA", at positions 354 to 796 of the family's 1533-position model. The record is from RNAcentral.